GGUUGCGACCAUGUCACGUUGACAGCAUGCCAUACCGUCCGAUCUCGCAAGUUUGGCAACGUUGGGCAUGGUUAGUGUCUGGAUCGAAGACGGUUUGGAGAAUUCGGGUGCUGUGAGAC
Molecule: ribosomal RNA, 119 nt
Filed under: Ancylostoma duodenale
Lineage: Eukaryota; Metazoa; Nematoda; Chromadorea; Rhabditida; Ancylostomatidae
Source: RNAcentral